UCGUCACAACGGCUUCCUGGCGUGGCGAUGUCAUAUGAAUGGAGCA
This 46-nucleotide non-coding RNA is filed under the name unclassified sequences. Its description in RNAcentral is "SAM-SAH-Weickhmann-2018 RNA". It matches the Rfam family "SAM/SAH riboswitch aptamer". The record is from RNAcentral.